This 253-nucleotide ribosomal RNA is filed under the name uncultured bacterium. RNAcentral's name for it is "partial 16S ribosomal RNA". It matches the Rfam family "Bacterial small subunit ribosomal RNA", at positions 108 to 353 of the family's 1533-position model. The record is from RNAcentral.
GAGUAAUACAUAAGUAACCUGCCCUAGACAGGGGGAUAACUAUUGGAAACGAUAGCUAAGACCGCAUAGGUACGGACACUGCAUGGUGACCGUAUUAAAAGUGCCUCAAAGCACUGGUAGAGGAUGGACUUAUGGCGCAUUAGCUGGUUGGCGGGGUAACGGCCCACCAAGGCGACGAUGCGUAGCCGACCUGAGAGGGUGACCGGCCACACUGGGACUGAGACACGGCCCAGACUCCUACGGGAGCAGCAUG